GAUGAACGCUAGCGAUAGGCUUAACACAUGCAAGUCGAGGGGCAGCAUGGUCUUAGCUUGCUAAGGCUGAUGGCGACCGGCGCACGGGUGCGUAACGCGUAUGCAACUUGCCUCACAGAGGGGGAUAACCCGUCGAAAGACGGACUAAUACCGCGUACACUCUAUGUUGGGCAUCCAAUGUAGAGGAAAUGAAAUUCGCUGUGAGAUAGGCAUGCGUCCCAUUAGCUAGUUGGUGAGGUAACGGCUCACCAAGGCGACGAUGGGUAGGGGAACUGAGAGGUUGAACCCCCACACUGGUACUGAGACACGGACCAGACUCCUACGGGAGGCAGCAGUGAGGAAUAUUGGUCAAUGGGCGAGAGCCUGAACCAGCCAAGUCGCGUGAAGGAUGACUGUCUUAGGGAUUGUAAACUUCUUUUAUACGGGAAUAACAAGAGUCACGUGUGGCUCCCUGCAUGUACCGUAUGAAUAAGCAUCGGCUAACUCCGUG
This 490-nucleotide ribosomal RNA is filed under the name uncultured bacterium. RNAcentral's name for it is "partial 16S ribosomal RNA". It matches the Rfam family "Bacterial small subunit ribosomal RNA", at positions 28 to 507 of the family's 1533-position model. The record is from RNAcentral.